AAUAGAGAGCGAAUCCCCCUGCGCUGCGUUUACGAGUUGGUUUCAAAGCGUGAUUAUAACAAACAGUGAAGAUCACCCUACCCGGUUGAUUAGAAGGGCUGGGAAGCAAGUGAAUAUUUCAGCAACGGGCCUCCCUGCGGUGCCACGUUAGAAACGUGGCAAGCAAGGAGGAAAUGUCCCCUCUAUCGCGGCCCUGAAUGCGGAAAUUGUGAAGAUUCGUCGUUGGCUCAGUAAUAGCAGUUAACAGAAAACCAUUUCUCGCCAAAAGAUUCACACAUUUUGUUCCACGUCGAAACCAAAAAAAAAAAAGAAAUGUCUUGUCUCCAUAGGAGUCAGUUAUCCGACGAUGGAAAAAUCUGUACUGCUGCCCAAAUAUUUCGUUAACUGGAGCGGUAACCUAUUUUUAACCAUCAUCUCACUACGCAGUAGUUAAACUAAUAACUAAGCAGUUCAUCUUAACUAUCAUUAAGGCAGUCAACUUCCUCUCGGGACGUGGAAAGGGAAAAAAAAGAAAAAGACGUUUG
RNAcentral lists this small RNA (524 nucleotides) under Histoplasma capsulatum var. duboisii H88. RNAcentral's name for it is "Histoplasma capsulatum H88 hypothetical RNA". The record is from RNAcentral. Lineage: Eukaryota; Fungi; Ascomycota; Eurotiomycetes; Onygenales; Ajellomycetaceae.